AGUGAACGCUGGCGGUAGGCCUAACACAUGCAAGUCGAACGGCAGCACAGUAAGAGGUUGCUCUUACGGGUGGCGAGUGGCGGACGGGUGAGGAAUACAUCGGAAUCUACUUUUUCGUGGGGGAUAACGUAGGGAAACUUACGCUAAUACCGCAUACGACCUACGGGUGAAAGCAGGGGAUCUUCGGACCUUGCGCGAUUGAAUGAGCCGAUGUCGGAUUAGCUAGUUGGCGGGGUAAAGGCCCACCAAGGCGACGAUCCGUAGCUGGUCUGAGAGGAUGAUCAGCCACACUGGAACUGAGACACGGUCCAGACUCCUACGGGAGGCAGCAGUGGGGAAUAUUGGACAAUGGGCGCAAGCCUGAUCCAGCCAUACCGCGUGGGUGAAGAAGGCCUUCGGGUUGUAAAGCCCUUUUGUUGGGAAAGAAAAGCAGCAGGUUAAUACCCCGCUGUUCUGACGGUACCCAAAGAAUAAGCACCGGCUAACUUCGUG
This 492-nucleotide ribosomal RNA is filed under the name uncultured bacterium. RNAcentral's name for it is "partial 16S ribosomal RNA". It matches the Rfam family "Bacterial small subunit ribosomal RNA", at positions 29 to 507 of the family's 1533-position model. The record is from RNAcentral.